This 355-nucleotide unclassified non-coding RNA is filed under the name soil metagenome. RNAcentral describes it as "partial contains 5.8S ribosomal RNA, internal transcribed spacer 2, and large subunit ribosomal RNA". The stretch from base 1 to 120 matches the Rfam family "5.8S ribosomal RNA", at positions 35 to 154 of the family's 154-position model. The record is from RNAcentral.
GAUGAAGAACGCAGCAAAAUGCGAUAAGUAGUGUGAAUUGCAGAAUUCAGUGAAUCAUCGAAUCUUUGAACGCACAUUGCGCCCAUUAGUAUUCUAGUGGGCAUGUCUGUUCGAGCGUCAUUAAGUCCACUUAAGCCCUGCUUAGUGUUGGGAGACUGCUCCAGCGGUGCUACCCUGUAGCUACCCUGCAGCUCCUCAAAGACAGCGGCGGAGUUGUGGUAUCCUCUGAGCUUAGUAACUUGUUCUAGCUUUCGAGUACACCACUUCCCCUGCCGUAAAACCCUUAAUUUUUAAUGGUUGACCUCGGAUCAGGUAGGAAUACCCGCUGAACUUAAGCAUAUCAAUAAGCGGAGGA